CUUGAUGGGUAUAGUUUAACAUGACUGAAUGUGUGCCAUAUUCCGGAUCUGAAAGGUGACCUAAGGAUUUGAUUUGUAUAUUACUAUUAUAACAAAACCAUAAAUUCAAAAAAAGCAAUUAAAGUUAUAAAAAAACAAAAAAAUAUUUCCAAUUGCAAAACAACGAUCUUCAAACUAACUGGACUAAUCCAAAUAUACAAAUCGACCAC
RNAcentral lists this long non-coding RNA (209 nucleotides) under Mytilus galloprovincialis (Mediterranean mussel). The record is from RNAcentral. Lineage: Eukaryota; Metazoa; Mollusca; Bivalvia; Mytilida; Mytilidae.